Molecule: ribosomal RNA, 159 nt
Filed under: uncultured bacterium
Lineage: Bacteria
Description: partial 16S ribosomal RNA
Rfam family: Bacterial small subunit ribosomal RNA
Source: RNAcentral
UGAGGAAUAUUGGUCAAUGGGGCGGGGAGCCUGAACCAGCCAAGUCGCGUGAGGGAAGACGGUCCUAUGGAUUGUAAACCUCUUUUGUCGGGGAGCAAGAAAGGGUAUGCAUACCCUACUGAGAGUACCCGAAGAAAAAGCAUCGGCUAACUCCGUGCC